GCCUACGGGGGGCAGCAGUGAGGAAUAUUGGUCAAUGGGCUUACGCCUGAACCAGCCAAGUCGCGUGAGGGAAGACUGCCCUAUGGGUUGUAAACCUCUUUUGUCAGGGAGCAACGCCGGCUACGUGUAGCCGGACUGAGAGUACCUGAAGAAAAAGCAUCGGCUAACUCCGUGCCAGCAGCCGCGGUAAUACGGAGGAUGCGAGCGUUAUCCGGAUUUAUUGGGUUUAAAGGGUGCGCAGGCGGAGGUGCAAGUCAGCGGUCAAAUUGCGGGGCUCAACCCCGUACUGCCGUUGAAGCUGCAUC
Molecule: ribosomal RNA, 305 nt
Filed under: uncultured bacterium
Lineage: Bacteria
Description: bacterial SSU rRNA
Rfam family: Bacterial small subunit ribosomal RNA
Source: RNAcentral